CAACAGCUUCUGCGGGCAGGUAGAGAGAGGAGGAGGUGGUGCAGGACAUACAGGUGGUGACAAACAGAAUGACCUCAGCUGCCUGGAAGAUUGUGAGUUGACGGGAGCUGUCACAAGAAGCUGACUCUUGCAGGGGCCGAGCGCUGAGCCAAGGGGCCGGUGCGCACACUGAGUCACUAAGUCCAAAGGGGUCAGGGCAGAUGGUACAGAAAGAGUCAGGGUGUCUCGUGGGGAUCAGGGACACCCACGGAGGGAAGCACUGCAGCCGACAGGCAGGAAAGCAGCGGCCCGAGGCCUGAGUUUAUGUCGAGCCACAGGCGUGUCCCUUGCGUCCGCACCCUCUGCGCCUCGUGGAGCAAGGACCCCAGGGCCGACCCAUGGAGGGACCUAUAGGACACGUCCCCUAAAGCUGGCGUGGACUGGGGGCAGAAGAGGUGACCGUAGGCAGAUCAAUGUUACAGAAGUGAUGCGUGCUCGGUGCCCGAGAACGGGGAACCCCCAUAAGCGGACACGCUGGCACCGCGCUCUGCCCGUAAGUCCUCGGCAGCAAAGGAGAGGAAGAAAUGGCGCUGGGGACGCGGUGUGUCACCUUGUCAGGAUAAGCAGCCCUGGGCUUGAGCCGUGGAAAGAGGCCUGCAUUUCUCUGUUACAAGGAAGAAUUAUUGAAAGAGAUUCUGCUAUCACCUGUCAUUUUGUGUAUCCUCAAGGUUUGUGCCAGAAAGCAGAUAUAUCUGCUCCUGUGCCCAAUCGUUGUUAAAAUAAAUAAAUAAACAAACUUCGGUGCA
Pteropus alecto (black flying fox) is the source of this 785-nucleotide long non-coding RNA. RefSeq lists it as uncharacterized. The transcript is spliced from 3 exons. The record is from RefSeq and is a predicted model, not a curated record. NCBI's taxonomy places the organism in Eukaryota, Metazoa, Chordata, Mammalia, Chiroptera, Pteropodidae.